GACGAACGCUGGCGGCGUGCCUAACACAUGCAAGUCGAACGAGGUCCAUCCGGUGGCAACACCGGGGAAGACCUAGUGGCGAACGGGUGAGUAACACGUGAGGAACCUGCCCCGAAGACCGGGAUAACCCUCCGAAAGGAGAGCUAAUACCGGAUACCCCCACCGGACCGCAUGAUCUGGUGAGGAAAUGGAUUCCGCUUCGGGAGGGCCUCGCGGCCUAUCAGCUUGUUGGUGGGGUAAUGGCCCACCAAGGCUUCGACGGGUAGCUGGUCUGAGAGGACGAUCAGCCACACUGGGACUGAGACACGGCCCAGACUCCUACGGGAGGCAGCAGUGGGGAAUCUUGCGCAAUGGGCGAAAGCCUGACGCAGCAACGCCGCGUGGGGGAUGAAGGCUCUCGGGUUGUAAACCCCUUUCAGCAGGGACGAAUCUGACGGUACCUGCAGAAGAAGCCCCGGCCAACUACGUGCCAGCCGCCGCCGUAAAAC
This 488-nucleotide ribosomal RNA is filed under the name uncultured bacterium. RNAcentral's name for it is "bacterial SSU rRNA". It matches the Rfam family "Bacterial small subunit ribosomal RNA", at positions 28 to 526 of the family's 1533-position model. The record is from RNAcentral.